UACGGGGGGAGCAAGCGUUGUUCGGAUUUACUGGGCGUAAAGGGCGCGUAGGUGGCGCCGUAAGUCGGGUGUGAAAUUUCGGAGCUUAACUCCGAAACUGCAUUCGAUACUGCGGUGCUUGAGGACUGGAGAGGAGACUGGAAUUCAUGGUGUAGCAGUGAAAUGCGUAGAGAUCAUGAGGAACACCGAUGGCGAAGGCAGGUCUCUGGGCUGACACUGACGCUCAUGCACGAAAGCGUGGGGAGCAAACAGG
RNAcentral lists this ribosomal RNA (253 nucleotides) under uncultured prokaryote. RNAcentral describes it as "partial 16S ribosomal RNA". It matches the Rfam family "Bacterial small subunit ribosomal RNA", at positions 524 to 776 of the family's 1533-position model. The record is from RNAcentral.